CUGAUGACCUCUGUCCACUAUAUUCUAGUGAUUUCAAUGGGAACAGAAAGUGAAAAUUCCUUGGAGAUUACUUCUCAGUGGUGUAAGCAAAAUCUGCAAGGAUAUCUGGAAUGGCAGCGUGUAUCUCAGUUGUGUGAGGUUGAAGAUCUUAGGCUGUUGAGACACUGUAAUUGCAGAUGAGCCACAAGCAUCUGGCAGGGUCCUGCAGUUGUGCAUGGCGACUCCACUCCCUCCCAGCAGGUUGAGGGAGGCUUCCCUACUUGCAUGGAAGUAAGCCAGCAGCUUCCCACACAGAUGAUGGCUGUUACAAAGGAGACUUUUCAACACUCAGAUUUCAAGGCUUGUGGAACAGAUGACAAAGCGACAGAUGGAAGAGGGAGGGAGAGGAGGAGUGUGAAUGGAUUUCCCAUUUUGAGGCCGGACUUCAUCCUAAUGGGAACAGAGGGGUGCAAGGAGAGCCACUGUGACCCUUAGGUCACAUGGUUAGGAGCAAAGUCUUGAGGGGAAACCUCCAGCUCCACCCAAUUUCCAGAGUGGUUUUGCUUGGAAGAGCACUGCACAGACUGGUGUAGCUGUGAUGUCUCUGAAGGAAAAAGUCUCCAGGGGCCUUGUGCAAUGUGUGGCAGAAAAGGAAUCCCAACCUAGCAGGCAAAUCCUAGGCAAGGCCAUAGAGCUGUGGUCUCUGCCAUGGGGCACUGCCAUUGGGCUCCCAGAAGAUGGACGCUAAGCUGAGAA
Molecule: long non-coding RNA, 735 nt
Organism: Dipodomys ordii (Ord's kangaroo rat)
Lineage: Eukaryota; Metazoa; Chordata; Mammalia; Rodentia; Heteromyidae
Exons: 3
Source: RefSeq, a predicted model, not a curated record